GGGUUGUGAGGUUAAGCGACUAAGCGUACACGGUGGAUGCCCUGGCAGUCAGAGGCGAUGAAGGACGUGCUAAUCUGCGAAAAGCGCCGGCGAGGUGAUAUGAACCUUUGACCCGGCGAUGUCCGAAUGGGGAAACCCAGUGCAAUCCGUUGCACUAUCGUUAACUGAAUACAUAGGUUAACGAGGCGAACCGGGGGAACUGAAACAUCUAAGUACCCCGAGGAAAAGAAAUCAACCGAGAUUCCCCCAGUAGCGGCGAGCGAACGGGGAGCAGCCCGGAGUCUGAAUCAGCUUGUGUGUUAGUGGAACGGUCUGGAAAGUCCGACGGUACAGGGUGAUAGUCCCGUACACGAAAGCACACUUGCUGUGAACUCGAAGAGUAGGGCGGGACACGUGGUAUCCUGUCUGAAUAUGGGGGGACCAUCCUCCAAGGCUAAAUACUCCUGACUGACCGAUAGUGAACCAGUACCGUGAGGGAAAGGCGAAAAGAACCCCGGCGAGGGGAGUGAAAAAGAACCUGAAACCGUGUACGUACAAGCAGUGGGAGCCUCUUUAUGGGGUGACUGCGUACCUUUUGUAUAAUGGGUCAGCGACUUAUAUUCUGUAGCAAGGUUAACCGUAUAGGGGAGCCGAAGGGAAACCGAGUCUUAACUGGGCGUUAAGUUGCAGGGUAUAGACCCGAAACCCGGUGAUCUAGCCAUGGGCAGGUUGAAGGUUGGGUAACACUAACUGGAGGACCGAACCGACUAAUGUUGAAAAAUUAGCGGAUGACCUGUGGCUGGGGGUGAAAGGCCAAUCAAACCGGGAGAUAGCUGGUUCUCCCCGAAAGCUAUUUAGGUAGCGCCUCGUGAACUCAUCUUCGGGGGUAGAGCACUGUUUCGGCUAGGGGGCCAUCCCGGCUUACCAACCCGAUGCAAACUACGAAUACCGAAGAAUGUUAUCACGGGAGACACACGGCGGGUGCUAACGUCCGUCGUGAAGAGGGAAACAACCCAGACCGCCAGCUAAGGUCCCAAAGUCAUGGUUAAGUGGGAAACGAUGUGGGAAGGCACAGACAGCCAGGAUGUUGGCUUAGAAGCAGCCAUCAUUUAAAGAAAGCGUAAUAGCUCACUGGUCGAGUCGGCCUGCGCGGAAGAUGUAACGGGGCUAAACCAUGCACCGAAGCUGCGGCAGCGACACUAUGUGUUGUUGGGUAGGGGAGCGUUCUGUAAGCCGUUGAAGGUGUGCUGUGAGGCAUGCUGGAGGUAUCAGAAGUGCGAAUGCUGACAUAAGUAACGAUAAAGCGGGUGAAAAGCCCGCUCGCCGGAAGACCAAGGGUUCCUGUCCAACGUUAAUCGGGGCAGGGUGAGUCGACCCCUAAGGCGAGGCCGAAAGGCGUAGUCGAUGGGAAACAGGUUAAUAUUCCUGUACUUGGUGUUACUGCGAAGGGGGGACGGAGAAGGCUAUGUCAGCCGGGCGACGGUUGUCCCGGUUUAAGCAUGUAGGCGGAGGUUCCAGGUAAAUCCGGUACCUUAUUAACGCUGAGGUGUGAUGACGAGGCACUACGGUGCUGAAGUGAUAAAUGCCCUGCUUCCAGGAAAAGCCUCUAAGCAUCAGGUAACACGAAAUCGUACCCCAAACCGACACAGGUGGUCAGGUAGAGAAUACCAAGGCGCUUGAGAGAACUCGGGUGAAGGAACUAGGCAAAAUGGUGCCGUAACUUCGGGAGAAGGCACGCUGAUGUGUAGGUGAAGCCCCUGCGGGCGGAGCUGAAAUCAGUCGAAGAUACCAGCUGGCUGCAACUGUUUAUUAAAAACACAGCACUGUGCAAACACGAAAGUGGACGUAUACGGUGUGACGCCUGCCCGGUGCCGGAAGGUUAAUUGAUGGGGUUAGCGGCAACGCGAAGCUCUUGAUCGAAGCCCCGGUAAACGGCGGCCGUAACUAUAACGGUCCUAAGGUAGCGAAAUUCCUUGUCGGGUAAGUUCCGACCUGCACGAAUGGCGUAAUGAUGGCCAGGCUGUCUCCACCCGAGACUCAGUGAAAUUGAACUCGCUGUGAAGAUGCAGUGUACCCGCGGCAAGACGGAAAGACCCCGUGAACCUUUACUAUAGCUUGACACUGAACACUGGUCCUUGAUGUGUAGGAUAGGUGGGAGGCUUUGAAGCGUGGACGCCAGUCUG
Molecule: ribosomal RNA, 2162 nt
Filed under: Enterobacter hormaechei subsp. steigerwaltii
Lineage: Bacteria; Pseudomonadati; Pseudomonadota; Gammaproteobacteria; Enterobacterales; Enterobacteriaceae
Also listed under: 1 other name
Description: bacterial LSU rRNA
Rfam family: Bacterial large subunit ribosomal RNA
Source: RNAcentral